RNAcentral lists this ribosomal RNA (274 nucleotides) under uncultured bacterium. RNAcentral's name for it is "partial 16S ribosomal RNA". It matches the Rfam family "Bacterial small subunit ribosomal RNA", at positions 523 to 796 of the family's 1533-position model. The record is from RNAcentral.
AUACGAACCGGACAAACGUUAUUCGGAAUUAUUGGGCGUAAAGGGUGCGUAGGCGGCAUAGUAAGUGAGAUGUGAAAUCUCCGGGCUUAACCUGGAAACUGCAUUUCAUACUGCUAAGCUAGAAUAUCAGAGAGGCAAAUGGAAUUCUCGGUGUAAGAGUGAAAUCUGCAGAUAUCGAGAAGAACACCAGUGGCGAAGGCGAUUUGCUGGCUGGAUAUUGACGCUGAGGCACGAAAGCUAGGGUAGCGAACGGGAUUAGAAACCCGAGUAGUCC